UGCGGGUGUAGCUCAGUUGGUUAGAGUGCCGGCCUGUCACGCCGGAGGUCGCGGGUUCGAGCCCCGUCACUCGCGCCAC
This 79-nucleotide transfer RNA is filed under the name Roseibium sp. TrichSKD4. RNAcentral describes it as "tRNA-Asp". It matches the Rfam family "tRNA". Rfam says of the family: Transfer RNA (tRNA) molecules are approximately 80 nucleotides in length. Their secondary structure includes four short double-helical elements and three loops (D, anti-codon, and T loops). Further hydrogen bonds mediate the characteristic L-shaped molecular structure. tRNAs have two regions of fundamental functional importance: the anti-codon, which is responsible for specific mRNA codon recognition, and the 3' end, to which the tRNAs corresponding amino acid is attached (by aminoacyl-tRNA synthetases). tRNAs cope with the degeneracy of the genetic code in two manners: having more than one tRNA (with a specific anti-codon) for a particular amino acid; and 'wobble' base-pairing, i.e. permitting non-standard base-pairing at the 3rd anti-codon position. Lineage: Bacteria; Pseudomonadati; Pseudomonadota; Alphaproteobacteria; Hyphomicrobiales; Stappiaceae. The record is from RNAcentral.